GAUCCUGGCUUAGGACGAACGCUGGCGGCACGCCUAACACAUGCAAGUCGAACGAGAGAGAGGGAGCUUGCUUCCUCAAUCGAGUGGCGAACGGGUGAGUAACGCGUGAGGAACCUGCCUCAAAGAGGGGGACAACAGUUGGAAACGACUGCUAAUACCGCAUAAGCCCACAGGUCGGCAUCGACCAGAGGGAAAAGGAGCAAUCCGCUUUGAGAUGGCCUCGCGUCCGAUUAGCUAGUUGGUG
RNAcentral lists this ribosomal RNA (244 nucleotides) under uncultured bacterium. Its description in RNAcentral is "partial 16S ribosomal RNA". It matches the Rfam family "Bacterial small subunit ribosomal RNA", at positions 15 to 254 of the family's 1533-position model. The record is from RNAcentral.